This 652-nucleotide long non-coding RNA is filed under the name Mytilus galloprovincialis (Mediterranean mussel). The record is from RNAcentral. Lineage: Eukaryota; Metazoa; Mollusca; Bivalvia; Mytilida; Mytilidae.
UAUAUAUGUUUAUUGUUAUUAAAAAUGUAGAUAAGUUAUAUGCUAAUAGUUGCUGAAACAGUAUAUACAUAUUUUAUAUAUUAAUUGUUGCUCAAAGUUUAAUAUUUUUUAUGUAAAUAGAGGCUGAAAGCGUAAAUAUUUUAUUUGUUGCUUAAACAGUAAUUGAUGCUGUUACUGUGUGUAUUUGAUGUGUGUUUGUUUAAUCUACACUGACUAGUCACUAGAUGCAUUAGGGGGCAGGGUUGAUAUCUCACAAAACAAGUUUAACCCCACCAAAUUUUGGUUCAUAUAUAUGUUUCAGAGUUAAGUGUGACAUCCUUAUUUGCUGAACUAGUUUUUAUUUUUGAUAAGGGCCUAGCUGAAACUGGCAUCAGAGUGUUGGAUUAUCUCACUGUGUUGAAACCCUGAGGUUGUUGUCUAUUUGACUUAUUCAACAUUUCCAAUUUUCCAUUUUAUUUUUUUAAUUGAAAUGAUUUUGAAAAAAAGUAUUUAACAGUUUCUUAUCUGUAUUUCAUCUUUCAAACACAAUCCCUUGGUACAUAUUAAAAAUUAAUCUUUUUUCUAAACUUAGUGUCGCAUAAAUAGCUGUAUUUGUAUUACUGGUAUUAUUAGAUUUGACGAUUAUUAAUUAUAAUUUUUUUAACAAAAAAUA